RNAcentral lists this ribosomal RNA (120 nucleotides) under Petromyzon marinus (sea lamprey). Lineage: Eukaryota; Metazoa; Chordata; Hyperoartia; Petromyzontiformes; Petromyzontidae. The record is from RNAcentral.
GCCUAUGACCAAAUCACCUGUAACGUGCCCGAUCUUGUCAGACUUCUAAUGCUAAGCAGGGUUGAGCCUGCAUAUUGCUUGGAUGGGUUAGCACCAUGCACGAACAGGUUGUCAUAGGUG